GGGGGGCAUCGAAGAGUUUCCCUUCGGACACUCGGAGUUUGAGAUCCUUGUGAUUUCUGUCGCAUAUUCAGGUUUGAAGCCGGGAAGAAAAUCCAGGCCAGAGAUGAUCGUUUGGAGUCCCCAGCACACGGAUGGGUAGCCAUACCUCUUAACAUGGCGUCAGACAUUGGUCACAUUUCCGGGAGCAGCCGAGGAAAGCGUGGGGCGCAUCCGGCCCCUCGGUGGUACUCCUGGCUGGCGUGAAUCCUUGCAGCGCCUGUUGGCCCGUCUGGUGGCGAGCACCGCACGAGCCACCUUGAACCCAGACUUCCCGUCCGCCCGUCUUUGAACCCAGACGAGACUUGGGGAGAUGACCUAGUUGACUAAGCUAGAGGCACGGUGGCCAUUCUCUGUGUUGUGAUCAAGCCAGAACUGCUUUCCGAGGAAAACCUGGGCUCUGUCUUCAGAUACCGCCUCGGAGCUCCUCCCUCUGAGGGGAAAUGGCUGUCGAGCUGUCCAGGUCGGUACCCAUCCCGACCUGGGCAUGACGGGCAUGGCGUCCAGAAGCCCCUCC
RNAcentral lists this long non-coding RNA (553 nucleotides) under Felis catus (domestic cat). Its description in RNAcentral is "lncRNA (ENSFCAG00000050110.1)". Lineage: Eukaryota; Metazoa; Chordata; Mammalia; Carnivora; Felidae. The record is from RNAcentral.